This 68-nucleotide transfer RNA is filed under the name Ictidomys tridecemlineatus (thirteen-lined ground squirrel). Its description in RNAcentral is "Spermophilus tridecemlineatus (thirteen-lined ground squirrel) tRNA". It matches the Rfam family "tRNA". From Rfam's summary of the family: Transfer RNA (tRNA) molecules are approximately 80 nucleotides in length. The record is from Rfam by way of RNAcentral. Lineage: Eukaryota; Metazoa; Chordata; Mammalia; Rodentia; Sciuridae.
GGGGUUGUGGCUCAAUGGCAGAGCGCUUGCCUUGCAUGUGUGAGGCACUGGUUCGAUCCUCAGCACCA